AUGAAAGACAUGUUGUUCAAGAAGCAGAUCCUGGGUGUUGUUGUCGCUUAUGUAUACGUAGUUGAGUUCCAAAAAAGGGGCCUUCCCCACGCACAUUUUUUGUUGAUCAUGGAUUCAGCAUAUAAGCUUAUCGUCCCAGAGCAAUAUGACCGACUCAUAUCAGCAGAGCUCCCAGACAAGCAUAAGUAUCCCGAAUUGUAUGCAAUGGUGGUAAAGCAUAUGAUGCACGGACCAUGCGGCACCACAGGAACAUUUUCCUGA
Molecule: ribosomal RNA, 261 nt
Filed under: Triticum aestivum (bread wheat)
Lineage: Eukaryota; Viridiplantae; Streptophyta; Magnoliopsida; Poales; Poaceae
Description: partial small subunit ribosomal RNA
Source: RNAcentral